RNAcentral lists this ribosomal RNA (497 nucleotides) under uncultured bacterium. RNAcentral's name for it is "partial 16S ribosomal RNA". It matches the Rfam family "Bacterial small subunit ribosomal RNA", at positions 28 to 507 of the family's 1533-position model. The record is from RNAcentral.
GAUGAACGCUGGCGGCGUGCCUAAUACAUGCAAGUCGAGCGAACAGACGAGGAGCUUGCUCCUCUGACGUUAGCGGCGGACGGGUGAGUAACACGUGGAUAACCUACCUAUAAGACUGGGAUAACUUCGGGAAACCGGAGCUAAUACCGGAUAAUAUAUUGAACCGCAUGGUUCAAUAGUGAAAGACGGCUUUGCUGUCACUUAUAGAUGGAUCCGCGCCGCAUUAGCUAGUUGGUAAGGUAACGGCUUACCAAGGCGACGAUGCGUAGCCGACCUGAGAGGGGGAUCGGCCACACUGGAACUGAGACGCGGUCCAGACUCCUACGGGAGGCAGCAGUAGGGAAUCUUCCGCAAUGGGCGAAAGCCUGACGGAGCAACGCCGCGUGAGUGAUGAAGGUCUUCGGAUCGGAAAACUCUGUUAUGAGGGAAGAACAAAUGUGGAAGUAACUAUGCACGUCUUGACGGUACCUAAUCAGAAAGCCACGGCUAACUACGUG